RNAcentral lists this ribosomal RNA (1358 nucleotides) under uncultured organism. Its description in RNAcentral is "16S ribosomal RNA". It matches the Rfam family "Bacterial small subunit ribosomal RNA", at positions 104 to 1474 of the family's 1533-position model. The record is from RNAcentral.
GGGUGAGUAACACGUAUCCAACCUGCCCUUUACUCGGGGAUAGCCUUUCGAAAGAAAGAUUAAUACCCGAUAGUAUAAUGAUUCCGCAUGGGUUCAUUAUUAAAGGAAUCCGGAAAAGGAUGGGGAUGCGUUCCCUUACGCUGGUGGUGAGGUAACGGCUCACCAAGCCUUCGAUGGAUAGGGGUUCUGAAAGGAAGGUCCCCCACAUUGGAACUGAGACACGGCCCCAACUCCUACGGGAGGCAGCAGUGAGGAAUAUUGGUCAAUGGGCGCUAGCCUGAACCAGCCAAGUAGCGUGAAGGAUGAAGGCUCUAUGGGUCGCACACUUCUUUUAUAUAACAAUAAAGUGCAGUAUGUAUACUGAUUUGUAUGUAUUAUAUGAAUAAGGAUCGGCUAACUCCGUGCUCCCAGCCGCGGUAAUACAGAGGAUCCGAGCGUUAUCCGGAUUUAUUGGGUUUAAAGGGAGCGGAGGUGGACUGCUAAGUCACUUGUGAAAGUUUGCGGCUCAACCGUACAAUUGCAGUUGAUACUGUCAGUCUUGAGUACAGUAGAGGUGGGCGGAAUUCGUGGAGUACCGGUGAAAUGCUUAUAUAUCACGAACAACUCCGAUUGCUAAUGCAGCUCACUGGACUCGCACUGACACUGAAGCUCGAAAGUGGGGGUAUCAAACAGGAUUAGAUACCCUGGUAGUCCACACAGUAAACGAUGAAUACUCGCUGUUUGCGAUAUACAGUAAGCGGCCAAGCGAAAGCAUUAAGUAUUCCACCUGGGGAGUACGCCGGCAACGGUGAAACUCAAAGGAAUUGACGGGGGCCCGCACAAGCGGAGGAACAUGUGGUUUAAUUCGAUGAUACGCGAGGAACCUUACCCGGGCUUAAAUUGCAGUGGAAUGAUGUGGAAACAUGUCAGUGAGCAAUCACCGCUGUGAAGGUGCUGCAUGGUUGUCGUCAGCUCGUGCCGUGAGGUGUCGGCUUAAGUGCCAUAACGAGCGCAACCCUUAUCUUCAGUUACUAACAGGUCAUGCUGAGGACUCUGGAGAGACUGCCGUCGUAAGAUGUGAGGAAGGUGGGGAUGACGUCAAAUCAGCACGGCCCUUACGUCCGGGGCUACACACGUGUUACAAUGGGGGGUACAGAAGGCAGCUAGCGGGUGACCGUAUGCUAAUCCCAAAAUCCUCUCUCAGUUCGGAUCGAAGUCUGCAACCCGACUUCGUGAAGCUGGAUUCGCUAGUAAUCGCGCAUCAGCCACGGCGCGGUGAAUACGUUCCCGGGCCUUGUACACACCGCCCGUCAAGCCAUGGGAGCCGGGGGUACCUGAAGUACGUAACCGCAAGGAUCGUCCUAGGGUAAAACUGGUGA